Molecule: ribosomal RNA, 480 nt
Filed under: uncultured bacterium
Lineage: Bacteria
Description: partial 16S ribosomal RNA
Rfam family: Bacterial small subunit ribosomal RNA
Source: RNAcentral
GACGAACGCUGGCGGCGUGCUUAACACAUGCAAGUCGAACGAUGAAGCAAAGAAUUGAAGCUUCGGCAGAAAUUCAUUUCGGAUUAGUGGCAGACGGGUGAGUAACGCGUGAGCAACCUACCUCUUACAAAGGGACAGCCUCGGGAAACCGGGAUUAAUACCAUCUCACAUUGCGACGAAGCAUUUCGAUGCAAUCAAAGCUACGGCGGUAAGAGAUGGGCUCGCGUCCCAUUAACCAGAUGGGGAGGUAACGGCUCACCAUAGUAACGAUGGGUAACCGGCCUGAGAGGGUGAACGGUCACACUGGAACUGAGACACGGUCCAGAUUCCUACGGGAAGCAGCAGUGGGGAAUAUUGCACAAUGGAGGGAACUCUGAUGCAGCGACGCCGCGUGAGUGAUGAAGGAAUUCGUUUCGUAAAACUCUGUUCUAUGGGAAGAAAAGGACUGUACCAUAGGAGAAAGCUCCGGCUAAAUACGUG